UGUAGUCUUUGAUGCAGAAGGGUUAGAACGUCCUGGGCUUCAUUUGGCACCCCCACCCUUCUAAUCCUCCACCACAGCCCACUCUCAGAUCAGCCUUCAGGGACUUUCCCCUUAUCUAAGGACAGCACCCACAGACAAGAAAAUGGCCACUGGGCCUCUGAGAGCCAGGGGUGAGAUGAUUUCUAUAUCCAGCAACAUUGCUGUGAACAUUCCUUUACAUGUCUCCUGAUACAUCAGCACAAGUACUUGUUUGGUAUAUUCCAACAGAGUUUGAAUACUCAAUU
This is a long non-coding RNA of Cynocephalus volans (Philippine flying lemur), 284 nucleotides long. RefSeq lists it as uncharacterized. NCBI's taxonomy places the organism in Eukaryota, Metazoa, Chordata, Mammalia, Dermoptera, Cynocephalidae. The transcript has 3 exons. The record is from RefSeq and is a predicted model, not a curated record.